RNAcentral lists this ribosomal RNA (468 nucleotides) under uncultured bacterium. RNAcentral describes it as "partial 16S ribosomal RNA". It matches the Rfam family "Bacterial small subunit ribosomal RNA", at positions 28 to 507 of the family's 1533-position model. The record is from RNAcentral.
GACGAACGCUGGCGGCGUGCUUAGCACAUGCAAGUCGAACGGAAAGGCCCUGCUUUUGUGGGGUGCUCGAGUGGCGAACGGGUGAGUAACACGUGAGUAACCUGCCCUUGACUUUGGGAUAACUUCAGGAAACUGGGGCUAAUACCGGAUAGGAGCUCCUGCUGCAUGGUGGGGGUUGGAAAGUUUCGGCGGUUGGGGAUGGACUCGCGGCUUAUCAGCUUGUUGGUGGGGUAGUGGCUUACCAAGGCUUUGACGGGUAGCCGGCCUGAGAGGGUGACCGGCCACAUUGGGACUGAGAUACGGCCCAGACUCCUACGGGAGGCAGCAGUAGGGAAUAUUGCACAAUGGGCGGAAGCCUGAUGCAGCAACGCCGCGUGCGGGAUGACGGCCUUCGGGUUGUAAACCGCUUUCGCCUGUGACGAAGCGUGAGUGACGGUAAUGGGUAAAGAAGCACCGGCUAACUACGUG